Molecule: RNA transcript, 4650 nt
Organism: Ictalurus punctatus (channel catfish)
Lineage: Eukaryota; Metazoa; Chordata; Actinopteri; Siluriformes; Ictaluridae
Exons: 6
Source: RefSeq, a predicted model, not a curated record
GAAAAAGAAGAAGAGGCUGACCACACCCACCAUUUUGAUUUAAAAUACUUUGUACUUACAACACAACAUAUGAGUUUUCAACAUGGCUUGCCCUAAUGCACCGAUAAAAGUUCACUCAUUUUUGGGAAGAUUAGAAAAAAAUUUAGAGCUUGAAAAGGUUCAAUAUUGGGUAAUGUCAAACGGUUGUACAGCCGGAUUUUUUUUCGAUGCAGAAAAAGCAGGCGUUGUGCUUUUCAAGUUCUCGAUACCGGAUGAAAUGCUAACUUGUGGUUCUGUCCUUCGAGUGAGUUAUAUCUAUUUUCCUCUUUGAGACACCUAUAGCCUCCGUUAUAAAUGUAUGCGAUGACUAUAGCUUUCUUAAGCUGAUAAACCGCUGAGUCCGCCGGGUCUAAUAAAUAAAUUAUUUCAUUAAUGAUAAAGUUGCUGAAUCCAGCGAUUAGCCCCAUUAAAAAAAAAAAAAAAAAAAAAAGAUAAAUAAAGUUGUGAGUCAGGCGGCUAUAAAAAUAAAUAAAAUAAAUCGCCGGAGUCCGGCGACAUAAAUCUGUUUCAAUAAUAAGUUCAUAGUUAAUUGAUGUGUAGACAUAAUAUGGUGUAUAGAUAUAAGGUUGAUGCGUAUUUAGGUUAAAGAUAUGUAAGAUUUCAUACGUUCUGCACUUACGUAAGCUUACAUAUGGACUGCACUCAAUCAUAUUAUGUUGAGACAUGUACACAUGGACUGCAAUUAGAUUUUUAAAAAAUCAUAUAUUGAGUCAUGUACACAUAUGGACUACACUUAGAUAAAAAAAAAUCAUAUUAUGUUGAGUCAUGUACACAUAUGGACUACACUUAGAUAAAAAAAAAAUCAUAUUAUGUUGAGACAUGUACACAUGGACUGCAAUUAGAUUUUUAAAAAAUCAUAUAUUGAGUCAUGUACACAUAUGGACUACACUUAGAUAAAAAAAAAAUCAUAUUAUGUUGAGUCAUGUACACUUAUGGACAGCACUUAGAUAAAAAAAAAUCAUGUUGAGUCAUGUACACAUGGACAGCACUUAGAUAAAAAAAAAAUCAUGUUGAGUCAUGUACACAUGGACAGCACUUAGAUAAAAAAAAAAUCAUGUUGAGUCAUGUACACAUGGACAGCACUUAGAUAAAAAAAAAAAUCAUAUUAUGUUGAGAUAUGUACACCAAUGAUAACUGCACUUAGAUCAAGUAAUCAUAUUAUGUUGAGACAUGUACACAUAUGGACUACACUUAGAUAAAAAAUCAUUAUGUUGAGUCAUGUACACAUAUGGACUGCACUUAGAUAAAAAAAAAAAAAAAAAAUCAUAUUAUGUUGAGAUAUGUACACCAAAGAUAACUGCACUUAGAUCUAGUGAUGCACCAAAAUGAAAAUUCUUGGCUGAAGCUGAAACCGAAUAUAAUGAACAACUUGGCCAAAUACCGAACACGUUUUUUCGCGUUUUUUCCAUUUAUUUUACCAUUUUUUUCACCAUUGCAUGAAUUAAAUAGUCAAAAUUUUACUAUUUUGUCUUGCUUUUCAAAGAAAAAAAAAAAUCAAUUACAAAAAAAAAAAAUCAAUUACAACAACUACAAUUUCAAAAUAUUUAUUUAACACUGAACAUUUUUUUCCAUUCCAGUAGGUAUAGGCUACAAGGCACAAUAUAACUUUAAAUAAAUAAAUUAGUAAAAUAAAAAUAUUUUGACGUGGUCAUCUUUGAGCCCCCCUUGAAUAGCUGAUGUUAGGCCUAUAACUGACUGCUGAAAGAAUGUAACACUCUGUAGCCUAAAACAAAAAAAGUGCAUUAAAACGUGCAUUGACAAGAGUGCAAAAAAAGGUUAAAUUCGGUUAUAUACGGCUGAUUAUAUUCGGGAUAUAUACCGCUCGUGUCCCUGUACACCUCGCGGAGUAUUAUAGUAGAUAUAGUAUAGUUAGAUACGUUGUUAAUGUGAUGUUCCCUUAAAUAAAUACGUCUUUAGCUGCUUCCGUACACUACUCCCUUAUGUCUCACGAUGUGACAGAAUACUCUGGAAGAGAAACAAAACAAACGCACGUAUCCACAGUAAACAAUGUCACGGUUGUCAACAUCCGAAGAGCAUGCGCUCAUGCACGUAGUUCGUGCAUGUGCGCGCCCCCUCAUCGCUCCGAGCGUGCUGCCGGAACAGGAGGUUGUGAAAUUCGCGCAUCUCACUCUGGUUGCUAGGCUAUUUAGCACGUCAUCAAACACGUCAUUGUUCGGUCAAAUUUAUUCGGCCUUUUCACUUAUAAUUUCAGUUGCCGAACAUUUGGUGCAUCCCUCCUUAGAUCAAGUAAUCAUAUUAUGUUGAGUCAUGUACACAUAUGGCCAACACUUAGAUCCAUACGUUGUUCUGUACAUAUGGUCAGCACUUUGAGACGUACGAUCAUUGUGCAUUCUACACGCACAUAAACGCAUAUGGCCUUGUCUAUAAAAGUCAGACACUCAGUUUGGAAAAUCGGCAAAGGAUCGAAAGAAGUUCCAGACUCUACUCUUCAAAACUUCCAGACACCAUAGAUUUAUCAGCAGGUUCGAGUGCGGACGAGGCCGCCGGAUGAUGAGGACUCGCUCGAGCUUCACAUGGUGCGGCUGGAACUGGAGGAUGUGGAGAAGCAGAUCCGCGGCCUACUCGACAAGCAGGCCCAGCUGCUGGAACGACAAACUGCGCUGGAAACAUCUUGUGCCUCUGCCCACAUUUCCAAGGUAAGCACACAGCGUGGUAUUUCCACUCCCAGCCCCUCUACGCCGUGUGUUUCUCUGUGCAGGGACCGUGCACCUAGGACUUUCUCAGCCGUGGUCUCCGUCACGCCGGCGCCAACACACCUCGGGCCUUGGGUGAACCAGCGGCGGAAGGCGCUGGCUGGACCCUCUCCACCUCCGGUGUUCGAGAUUCCAACCAGGAACCGCUUCGCCCCUCUCCGUCAGACCAGACCCAACGCUGUGAUCGUCGGGGACUCCAUUGUGCGGAACGUCCGUGUAGCCUCAUCUAAAGGUAAGGUGCGCACACACUGUUUUUCUGGUGCUUGUGUCCUUGAUGUCGCUGCGCAGGUAUCCGGGAUCCUGAAGAAGGACGAGCGCAUUGGAGCGGUUGUGCUGCACGCGGGGACGAAUGACACCAGGCUGCAGCAGACGGAGGUUCUGAAGAGGGACUUCUCCAGCCUGAUCGAGACGGUACGAGGCAGAUCAUCGUCUCUGGACCUCUUCCCACAUACAGACGUGGAGCAGAAAAGUCGUUUCGUCCUGAUGGCCUGCACCCCAGCAGCCUUGGAGCGGAACUGCUGUCAGACAACAUCUCCAAGGCGCUACACACCAAGUGACUGCCUACCAUAAUUUACCCAAGGAUCAUGGCCUGGUUCUCCAGCAGCAAGAAGCUGUCAAGCAAAACCUUCGGGCUUUACCAAGUUGCUGUAAGAAGGCCAAACAAAAAACUGUCAGGAAACGUAAAAUGAGAGUGAUGGCAGCUGAAAAAUGAAGGUAAUUGAGUUCAAAUCCAAGACAAUCCAGUGCUGUGAUUCCUUGGGUCAGAGACAUGAUGAUAUCUGCCACAUAUUUGUCAUGAUUCCCCCUUGAAGCAGCGUGCUCUAAGCGCAAAUGCGCGAGCACCUGCUUUUCUAUUGUUGACAGUAGUGACAUCUGGACAAGUGUGUUUUGUUUAUGUUUUUGUUUACUGAUACGGCCAACCAAUUUCUGCUCAAGCCCAAGUCUACUGAUAUGGCCAACCAAGUUCUGCUCAUGCCUGAGUCUACUGAUAUGGCCGACCAAGUUCUGCUCACGCCUGAGUCUACUGAUACGGCCGACCAAGUUCUGCUCAUGCCCAAGUCUAACGACACGGCCGACCACGUUCUGUUCAAGCCCGAGUCUACCGACCCAGUCGCCCAAGUUCAGCCCACGCCCAAGUCUACCGACCUGGUCACCCAAGUUCAUCCCAUGCCCAAGACUACCGACACAACCACCCAAGUUCUGCCAAAGCCCAAGUCUGCUGACACGGACAACCAAGCUCUGCUUACAUUCCAGUCGGCUGACAUGACCAGCGAAGUACAGCUUGCAGGCUCUGCUGAGUACAUCGCUCUGCCUUCCAGUUCAGCCAGGGACGUCGCUCCGCUUUCAUGCUCCGACGAGGACGUCGCCCUGCUUCCCUGCUCUGCUGAGUACAGCGCUCUGUUUUCCUGUUCAGCCGAGGACGUCGCUCUGCCUUCCAGUUCAGCCGGGGACGUUGCGUUGCUUUCAUGCUCCGACGAGGACGUCGCCCUGCUUCCCUGCUCUGCUGAGUACAGCGCUCUGUUUCCCUGUUCAGCCGAGGACGUUGCUCUGCUUCCCUGCUCUGCUGAGUACAGCGCUCUGUUUCCCUGUUCAGCCGAGGACGUCGCUCUGCCUUCAUGCUCCGCCGAGGACUUCGCUCAGCCUGUCUGCCCGGCUGUGGUCGUUACUCUGCCUCCCUGUUCAGCCAGGGACGUCGCUCCGCUGUCCUGCUCCGCCGAGGACGUCGCUCCACCGUUCUGCUCCGCCGAGGACGUCACUCAGUCUGUCUGCCCGGCUGUGGUCGUUACUCUGCCUCCCUGUUCAGCCAGGGACGUCGCUCCGCUUCCCUGCGCCGCCAGGAACACCGUGCGGUUUCCUAACUCUGCUUGGGACAUUCAGCCCAGGGGGCCGGGGCGCC